UAGGGAAUCUUCCGCAAUGGGCGAAAGCCUGACGGAGCAACGCCGCGUGAGUGAUGAAGGUCUUCGGAUCGUAAAACUCUGUUAUUAGGGAAGAACAAAUGUGUAAGUAACUAUGCACAUCUUGACGGUACCUAAUCAGAAAGCCACGGCUAACUACGUUCCAGCAGCCGCGGUAAUACGUAGGUGGCAAGCGUUAUCCGGAAUUAUUGGGCGUAAAGCGCGCGUAGGCGGUUUUUUAAGUCUGAUGUGAAAGCCCACGGCUCAACCGUGGAGGGUCAUUGGAAACUGGAAAACUUGAGUGCAUAAGAAGAAGAUGGGAUUCCAGGUGUAGCGGUGAAAUGCGCAGAGUUAUGGAGGAACACCAGUGGCGAAGGCGACUUUCUAGUCUGUAUCUGACGCUGAUGUGCGAAAGCGUGGGGAUCAAACAGG
Molecule: ribosomal RNA, 429 nt
Filed under: Bacteroidota bacterium
Lineage: Bacteria; Pseudomonadati; Bacteroidota
Description: Bacteroidetes bacterium partial 16S ribosomal RNA
Rfam family: Bacterial small subunit ribosomal RNA
Source: RNAcentral